RNAcentral lists this ribosomal RNA (404 nucleotides) under uncultured bacterium. RNAcentral's name for it is "bacterial SSU rRNA". It matches the Rfam family "Bacterial small subunit ribosomal RNA", at positions 917 to 1322 of the family's 1533-position model. The record is from RNAcentral.
GGGCCCGCACAAGCGGUGGAGUAUGUGGUUUAAUUCGAUGCAACGCGAAGAACCUUACCAGGGCUUGACAUCCUGCGAACCUCUGGGAAACCGGAGGGUGCCUUCGGGAACGCAGUGACAGGUGGUGCAUGGCUGUCGUCAGCUCGUGUCGUGAGAUGUUGGGUUAAGUCCCGCAACGAGCGCAACCCACGUCUUUAGUUGCCAGCAUUUAGUUGGGCACUCUAGAGAGACCGCCGGUGACAAACCGGAGGAAGGUGUGGAUGACGUCAAGUCAUCAUGCCCCUUACGUCCUGGGCUACACACGUACUACAAUGCUACGGACAAAGGGCAGCAAGUUCGCGAGGACAAGCAAAUCCCAUAAACCGUGGCUCAGUUCAGAUCGUAGGCUGCAACUCGCCUACGUG